This 403-nucleotide ribosomal RNA is filed under the name Fusobacteriota bacterium. Its description in RNAcentral is "Fusobacteria bacterium partial 16S ribosomal RNA". It matches the Rfam family "Bacterial small subunit ribosomal RNA", at positions 355 to 776 of the family's 1533-position model. The record is from RNAcentral. Lineage: Bacteria; Fusobacteriati; Fusobacteriota.
UGGGGAAUAUUGCACAAUGGGGGAAACCCUGAUGCAGCGACGCCGCGUGAGCGAAGAAGGUUUUCGAAUCGUAAAGCUCUGUCCUAUGGGAAGAUAAUGACGGUACCAUAGGAGGAAGCCCCGGCUAACUACGUGCCAGCAGCCGCGGUAAUACGUAGGGGGCAAGCGUUGUCCGGAAUCACUGGGUGUAAAGGGUUCGCAGGCGGAAAUGCAUGUCAGUUGUGAAAGGCAGAGGCUCAACCUCUGUAAGCAAUUGAAACUGUAUUUCUUGAGAUGUGGAGAGGCAAGUGGAAUUCCUAGUGUAGCGGUGAAAUGCGUAGAUAUUAGGAAGAAUACCGGUGGCGAAGGCGACUUGCUGGACACAAACUGACGCUGAGGAACGAAAGCGUGGGUAGCAAACAGG